GAUGAACGCUGGCGGUAUGCUUAACACAUGCAAGUCGAACGGACUCUUCGGAGUUAGUGGCGGACGGGUGAGUAACGCGUGAGAAUCUGGCUUUGGGUUCGGGACAACCACUGGAAACGGUGGCUAAUACCGGAUGUGCCGAGAGGUAAAAGAGAAAUUGCCUGGAGAUGAGCUCGCGUCUGAUUAGCUAGUUGGUGAGGUAAAGGCUCACCAAGGCAGCGAUCAGUAGCUGGUCUGAGAGGAUGACCAGCCACACUGGGACUGAGACACGGCCCAGACUCCUACGGGAGGCAGCAGUGGGGAAUUUUCCGCAAUGGGCGAAAGCCUGACGGAGCAAUACCGCGUGAGGGAAGAAGGCUCUUGGGUUGUAAGCCUCUUUUCUUAGGGAAGAACAAAAUGACGGUACCUAAGGAAUCAGCAUCGGCUAACUCCGUG
This 435-nucleotide ribosomal RNA is filed under the name uncultured bacterium. RNAcentral describes it as "partial 16S ribosomal RNA". It matches the Rfam family "Bacterial small subunit ribosomal RNA", at positions 28 to 507 of the family's 1533-position model. The record is from RNAcentral.